UACGAAGGGACCUAGCGUAGUUCGGAAUUACUGGGCUUAAAGAGUUCGUAGGUUGUUGAAAAAGUUGGUGGUGAAAUCCCAGAGCUUAACUCUGGAACUGCCAUCAAAACUUUUCAGCUAGAGUAUGAUAGAGGAAAGCAGAAUUUCUAGUGUAGAGGUGAAAUUCGUAGAUAUUAGAAAGAAUACCAAUUGCGAAGGCAGCUUUCUGGAUCAUUACUGACACUGAGGAACGAAAGCAUGGGUAGCGAAGAGG
RNAcentral lists this ribosomal RNA (253 nucleotides) under uncultured Pelagibacterales bacterium. Its description in RNAcentral is "partial 16S ribosomal RNA". It matches the Rfam family "Bacterial small subunit ribosomal RNA", at positions 524 to 776 of the family's 1533-position model. The record is from RNAcentral. Lineage: Bacteria; Pseudomonadati; Pseudomonadota; Alphaproteobacteria; Candidatus Pelagibacterales.